CCCUUAGACGUUCUGGGCCGCACGCGCGCUACACUGACCAGUGCAACAAGCAUCCGUCCUUGGCCGACAGGCCCGGGCAAUCUUUGAACGCUGGUCGUGAUGGGGAUAGACUUUUGCAAUUUUUGGUCUUCAACGAGGAAUUCCUAGUAAACGCAAGUCAUCAACUUGCAUUGGUUACGUCCCUGCCCUUUGUACACACCGCCCGUCGCACCUACCGAUUGAAUGGUCCGGUGAAGCCUCCGGAUUGGCGCGCACCUCGGUGCCGCCGAGAAGUUGGCUAAACCUUACCAUUUAGAGGAAGGUGAAGUCGUANCA
RNAcentral lists this ribosomal RNA (315 nucleotides) under uncultured eukaryote. RNAcentral's name for it is "partial 18S ribosomal RNA". It matches the Rfam family "Eukaryotic small subunit ribosomal RNA", at positions 1470 to 1796 of the family's 1831-position model. The record is from RNAcentral.